GAGUUAUUGGAUAAUUUGUUCUGCUCAAUGAAUAAUUAAAUAGCCGCAGUACCCUGACUGUGCAAAGGUAGCAUAAUCAUUUGGCUUAUAAUUGAAGUCUUGUAUGAAUGAAACGAUGGGGGACAACUAUAUCAUAAAUAUUAUAUUAAAUUACCUGAGAAGUGCAAAUGCUUUUAUAUAAAUAAUAGACGAGAAGACCCUUGAAAUUUUAAGAAGAGUGUCAAUAAAGAUUUUUGUUGGGGCAACAAUGUAACAAGAAACUUACAUUUUAAACAUGAAACGAAAUAGAUUGAUUAAAUUACUCUAGGGAUAACAGCGUAAUAUUGAAAUGUUUGCGACCUCGAUGUUGGACUAGGAAACAAAAGCUUAGAAGGUUACUUGGCAUGCUCUGUUCGAGCA
This 399-nucleotide ribosomal RNA is filed under the name Basedowena polypleura. Its description in RNAcentral is "partial 16S ribosomal RNA". Lineage: Eukaryota; Metazoa; Mollusca; Gastropoda; Stylommatophora; Camaenidae. The record is from RNAcentral.